UACGGAGGGUGCGAGCGUUGUCCGGAAUCACUGGGCGUAAAGGGCGCGUAGGCGGCCUGAUAAGUAGGGGGUGAAAUCCUGCGGCUUAACCGCAGGGCUGCCUUCUAAACUGUCAGGCUGGAGCACAGUAGAGGCAGGUGGAAUUCCCGGUGUAGCGGUGGAAUGCGUAGAGAUCGGGAAGAACAUCAGUGGCGAAGGCGGCCUGCUGGGCAGUAGCUGACGCUGAAGCGCGACAGCGUGGGGAGCAAACAGG
This 253-nucleotide ribosomal RNA is filed under the name uncultured bacterium. Its description in RNAcentral is "partial 16S ribosomal RNA". It matches the Rfam family "Bacterial small subunit ribosomal RNA", at positions 524 to 776 of the family's 1533-position model. The record is from RNAcentral.